This is a long non-coding RNA of Gasterosteus aculeatus aculeatus (three-spined stickleback), 563 nucleotides long. Lineage: Eukaryota; Metazoa; Chordata; Actinopteri; Perciformes; Gasterosteidae. The record is from Ensembl.
CGAGCUACAAGCUAUGAUUGUCCUGUCACUUUAUAUACAGCUAACUACAUCAGGAUCUGGGAUCAGAAAUGCAUGGUACAAAGUCUUUACAGGCUCAACAGUUAUCCAGGUCACAGGAAGUGGGUCAACCGAAGCUGACAGUCACAGAGCCAAUCAUGAAGCAUUCAGGCCGGCCCAGGGAAGCAUGAAAGCUGGGCCGCUGAAAAGAAGAUCCAGAGCAGACCAACUGUUGGCAACUCAACCUUGAAAGAUGAAGACAUGAUGAGUCAGCAGAGAGCCUGAUUAAACAACUCUCCUCUCAUAACUCCAGGAACAGAGCGGACAAGUGGGACACACGAUUGUGACCAGGAAACAUUGGGAUCUUUUAUCUCCUCGUGGCAAACCAACAUUCUUCACGCCCCUGGAAGCUCUCUGAUGACUCCGGCUAUCAGCGUCCACGUGGUUAGGAGAUGUUGGCAUCGUCUGAUGGUAUGAGGUCCCUUUGCUGAAUCCUGAACCAAGUGAAAGAAUGUAUUCUUUCUAACUGAAUGUCAUGUGGUUUAAUUCACAACACAAUUGAGCGG